This 335-nucleotide ribosomal RNA is filed under the name uncultured Sphaerotilus sp. RNAcentral describes it as "bacterial SSU rRNA". It matches the Rfam family "Bacterial small subunit ribosomal RNA", at positions 1 to 346 of the family's 1533-position model. Lineage: Bacteria; Pseudomonadati; Pseudomonadota; Betaproteobacteria; Burkholderiales; Sphaerotilaceae. The record is from RNAcentral.
UGACGAGUUUGAUCCUGGCUCGGAACGAACGCUGGCGGUAUGCCUUACACAUGCAAGUCGAACGGUAGAGGGGCAACCCUUGAGAGUGGCGAACGGGUGAGUAAUACAUCGGAACGUGCCCAGUCGUGGGGGAUAACGUAGCGAAAGCUACGCUAAUACCGCAUACGACCCGAGGGUGAAAGCGGGGGACUCGCAAGAGCCUCGCGCGAUUGGAGCGGCCGAUGGCAGAUUAGGUAGUUGGUGGGGUAAAGGCUCACCAAGCCAACGAUCUGUAGCUGGUCUGAGAGGACGACCAGCCACACUGGAACUGAGACACGGUCCAGACUCCUACGGGA